Molecule: ribosomal RNA, 483 nt
Filed under: uncultured bacterium
Lineage: Bacteria
Description: partial 16S ribosomal RNA
Rfam family: Bacterial small subunit ribosomal RNA
Source: RNAcentral
GACGAACGCUGGCGGCGUGCUUAACACAUGCAAGUCGAACGCUGAAGCUCAGCUUUUGUUGGGUGGAUGAGUGGCGAACGGGUGAGUAACACGUGAGUAACCUGCCUCCUUCUUUGGGAUAACGCCCGGAAACGGGUGCUAAUACUGGAUAUUCACUGGUCUUCGCAUGGGGGUUGGUGGAAAGGGUUUUUCUGGUGGGGGAUGGGCUCGCGGCCUAUCAGCUUGUUGGUGGGGUGAUGGCCUACCAAGGCUUUGACGGGUAGCCGGCCUGAGAGGGUGACCGGUCACAUUGGGACUGAGAUACGACCCAGACUCCUACGGGAGGCAGCAGUGGGGAAUAUUGCACAAUGGGCGCAAGCCUGAUGCAGCGACGCCGCGUGAGGGAUGGAGGCCUUCGGGUUGUGAACCUCUUUCGCUCAUGGUCAAGCCGCAACAAUGGUUGUGGUGAGGGUAGUGGGUAAAGAAGCGCCGGCUAACUACGUG